Long non-coding RNA from Cavia porcellus (domestic guinea pig), 2919 nucleotides. RefSeq lists it as uncharacterized. The transcript has 2 exons. The record is from RefSeq and is a predicted model, not a curated record. NCBI's taxonomy places the organism in Eukaryota, Metazoa, Chordata, Mammalia, Rodentia, Caviidae.
UCCUUACAACAGACCGAGAAGGGCACGGGUGAAAGGGAGCCUGGCAUGGGCAUGCAGACCCUGGUCCCUACAUGGACUUAGAGAGUGUUACUAUACAAAAUAGACCCUGGAUCAGCAAUGCGGUGCUAAGGGAGCCUGGCACCGGCUACUCCUGGGCUUGUGGAGAGUACACUGCUCUCCUGGACACCAUCUUGAGUCAGACAGAUGAUGAACAGUAGCGGUCUAUAAGCCUCCUAGCAAUUCUACGGAGAAAAGGGGCCAGAGAGAGACUUAAAGUGUUGGGUCACGUAUGGAGAGUUAACCGCAAAGCUGGUACCCAGAGUUGGCUGAUUCCCGAGCUGUGUUCUGAACUACUUCUCUGUGCCACCUGUGAAAGAUGACCUGACUCUGUCAUCUUUCUGUCCUCGUUCAGAUAGGUGAAAGAGAUUCCCAGCACAGUCAGGGAUUCACUCUGUGGUCCCUGUGGGAGGUUACAAGAGAAGGGCACAGUUACUGAUUUCUUUGGUUUCUUUGGAGGAGGGAACCAGAAAUUUCUUUCUUCUUCAUUUUUUUUUCUCUUCUUUUCUACUCAAAAUUGAUAUAGGUUGAUCCUAUCAAGAGUAGACAAGGCCUAUCCUGGACUGGGCAGCUGCAUUCUGGCAUAUAUCCUGGGUCUUCUAUUAGUGAACAAAUCUCCUUACUUUUCUGGGUUUCCUUUCCCUCGUCUACACAGCUCUAUCUGAUUUUACAAUGCACAGCAAUAAGAUAGGUUCUGGCCAUUCAUGUGCAAUGAUAAAAGAUAUUUAUUGCCUUUAGUUAUUCACCUAAGAUCCUGGAAACUCAGCACACACAGGGGCUUUUAGGAAUGGAUCGCACACCUAGCCCGGACUCUGCCAGAGGCAGCUCCGACACGGGCUGCAGGGCCUUGGGGAGGUGGCGCCCCUGUCCACUUGUAGACCAGCAGGGUUAGCCGCAGUCAGCCUUCUCAUCCCCUUGGCUUUCCUAGGAACGCCACGAAGCAGCAGUGAUUCCUCCACCAGAGGGCACAGUGGGAGCAAGCAGAGGCUCGAGUGAAAGCCUCAGAAGAGACAGCCCUACCAAACCCAGGAGAAUAGAGGUUCUAACUGGAAAAGUCAGCCAUGGAUUUUCCAGGAAAACCCAGCGCCAUCAGUUUGCCCAGGGAGGAGAACCAGCAAACAGUGCCAGAGAAGGAAGCACAUUCUUCAAAACAAAGAAUGAAUGAACCCGAAAGCUCCAUUCUGCUCGAGUCCCUGGGGGUUCUACUGGCUUGGCUCCUCCUGAACCCUGCCCGGGACUCCAGGACCCGAAGGAAUUUGCACUGCUUUUAGCCCAGGGCACCACGAUUUUUUUUUUUUUUUUCUGAUAUUGCUUGUUUGUUUGUUUCCACCUUAUCCAGUGUGGUGCCCAGGAAAACAAUGAAAAGCAAGUAACGAGAACCGGAUCUGGGCUGGGGAGGCUGCUCAGUGGUAGAGUGCUUCCUCACCUGUGCCAGGCCCUGAGUUCCAAUCCUAGCACCACAAAAAUGAAACAAAAGACGUAGGUCUUUCCCUUGGCUUCACUUAUGGUAAAUGAGUUUUUAAACAAAUUGCUUAGUUUCUUUGAACACCUCUACAAUCCGAGCAUAUGAAUCAGUGGUGGUGACUCUUUGAGAGCUUUUAGUCUUAACAGCCAGCUGUCAAAGGUCCACCUCCACUGAUUCCUAGCUGAUCAUGAAGACAGCUUUCAGCAUCAAGGUUCCAAAGACUAGAGAGCCUGGUUUGAAAUGGGAAAUAUAUCCUUGCAUUCACGUUCCAGUCUGUUCAACCAAGAUGCCUACGUCUCCAGUUAAAUGAAACCUUAUGGGUGAUAGUGGGCCAAGUCUCCAGUAGCUCUUUUUGUUUUUUUGUCUUGGAGACAGCGUCUCACUGUGUUGCCCAAACUGGUCUUGAACUCCUGGACUCAAACAAUGUUCCCGUCUCAGUCUCCCAACUAACUGGCGCUGCAGGCAUGGGUCAUGACACUUGGCUGUGUCCAGUAGUUCUUGUUUGUGUGUGAAGACUCUUGCCAGUGUGAUAGAGAUGGGCAUCGUUCUAUGAUACCUGAAAUUUCAUGCAGUAUACAGAGCAGUAGCAUUAAAUUGGAGUCAACCAAUGUUUGCGUUUUAUUCCAGCAGUACCGGAGAUCCAACCCAAAGCCUCAUACACACAGGAAAGCCCACUGCCGGUAGCUACAUCCCCAGGUCACACCCUGUCUUUGUGUCUCACUGGAUCGCUACUGCUGCUACUGAUUAUGUUUAUUGAGUGCUUACCUGAAAGAUUUUGAAUCUUCUAAAAAUCCCAUUACCCGGGCUCUAUCAUUAGCUCUGUUUAAUACUGGAAAUAAUAAGACCUAGAGAUUAACUUGCUCAAGACGCCAGGUUUUGUAAGAGAAAGACACAGGAUUUAAAUCCAGGAAGCCUGAUUCUGAAGCCUGAAUGCCUAACCUUUGCAUCACACAUUUUCAUCACCACGAUUGCCGAUUGCUUGCUAAUGAUGUUCAAGUGUUGCCUCCUGGGUUUCUACUCAGAGAAGAGCCGGCACUGUCAUCAUCACAUUGCAAAGUGUGAAUUGUCAGUGCUCAGAUCUUGGACACAGGUGUUUUGUUUUGUUUUGUUUUGCUUUGCUUUGUUUUUGCUGGUGGGAAUAGAACUGAGGGCUUUCACAUGCUGGGCAAGUGCUCGACCAAUAAGCUGCACCCCCAGCUGCUAGGUACUCCUUUUAUGACCUCUUACUUAGUGGAUGCGGCUAAUUCAGUCAGUUAAGGAAGUCACAGGUGUGGAGCGGGAGAAAGGGGGUAGGAAGUGAACAAAAUCAUUUCCAGCUCUGGUCCGACCACUGAGGACUACAAACAAAUCACUCAGUUUAUUGUAUCCUUAAUUUCCCUAAUAAAUGGACACAACUA